UUUGAGAACUGACAGUUCACAGCAUGGUCCCAUUGGUGCAGGAAGUUCCCCUUGCAGGAGGCUAAGCCUCUUCCUGGGGGCGACUCAUGCACUAUAUCUGGCUGAUGUUGGGGUAUGGGAAGUUUGGCUGCCUUGCUGAAUUCAAGUUAAGUCUCAAAUCUUCUGAGCUCCAGAAGCUCCCACCUGCUCAGCUGAGGCUGUGGCUAUGACUGCAGCACAGCUCUGCUUCUCCUUUCUCAUCCUGCUUCUCUCUCUCCCUCACAAGGGUUGUUUUUGAGAGUUUUCUCCAAUCAACCUCCUGCGAGGAAGCUUUGUCUCAAGAUCUGCUUUCUGGUGAAGCUGACCCGAGACAUCUCUGACUAUAUGCCCACAACUGCUGUGACAAAACACAGAUACUUGACUGAAGCUCAGUUAUCAGUACUGAGCAGAGAACUGAAAAUAAAUGCCUACUGAUAAGAAGUCAGUGCCAUCAUUCCAAAUGCAUUAGCUGGUCUUCAGAUUAUAAUUUCAAUGUUUGUAAAUAAAUACUUGG
RNAcentral lists this long non-coding RNA (532 nucleotides) under Canis lupus familiaris (dog). Its description in RNAcentral is "lncRNA (ENSCAFG00000053738.1, ENSCAFG00805006779.1, ENSCAFG00845019994.1)". The record is from RNAcentral. Lineage: Eukaryota; Metazoa; Chordata; Mammalia; Carnivora; Canidae.